Molecule: long non-coding RNA, 834 nt
Filed under: Ananas comosus (pineapple)
Lineage: Eukaryota; Viridiplantae; Streptophyta; Magnoliopsida; Poales; Bromeliaceae
Description: long non-coding RNA (ACOM_LNC031276)
Source: RNAcentral
UCAUUGAUAUUUUAGUCCCACAAUACAUGCAAUAAUAUAUAUAUAUAUAUAUAGAAUUGAGCUAGAAUACUUUUACAAGUAUUACCUCCAUGAUACUAUUAGGUUUUUAGCCAUUGGAUCUACUCCUUGAUUAUUAAUAGUCCUUGGAUCAAACACUAUUCCACCUACCACCACCUACCACCAUCAUCUCAACCUCACAUCUCUCCAUCCAAUGGCUAAAAACUCAAAAGCACCACUCAUAUAAUACUUUUACAAGUAUUCUAGCUCAACUAUAUAUAUAUAUAUAUAUAGAGAGAGAGAGAGAGAGAGAGAGAGAGAGAGAGAGAGAGAGAGAGAGAGAGAGAGAGAGAGAGAGAGUUGAGCUAUGAUACUUUUACAAGUAUUACCAUCAUGGUGCUAUUAGGUUUUAAGCCAUUGGAUCUACUUUUUGAUUAUUAAUAGCCCUUGAAUUAAACACUAUUCCACCUACCACCACCUAUCACCAUCAUCUCAACCUCACAUUUCUCCAUCCAAAGGCUAGAAACACACAAGUAUCACCCCCAUAAUACUUUUACAAAUAUUCUAGCCCUACUCUAUAUAUAUAUAUAUAUAUAUAUAUAUAUAUAUAUAGUGAUCAUCAUCAACCUAUGUAUUACUAAGUGGUCAGAGUGAGUUAGUUCUUUACUUCCUGUCUUGUCUUAGGUUGCCCACCGACAGGGUUCUUCUCUCCUUUGACAUCUCACCAACCUGGUUUGUAUUUUUCCCUGGAGCAUAAGUCACAAUGCUGGCUGGCUACUGGCUUAAUCAGUGGUUGUUAUGCAGACGGCCGUUCGAUUCUUGCGUGCUUCUGACUUU